GAUGAAGAACGUAGCGAAAUGCGAUAAGUAGUGUGAAUUGCAGAAUUCCGUGAAUCAUCGAGUCUUUGAACGCACAUUGCGCCUCAUGGCAUUCCGUGAGGCAUGCCCAUCUCAGCGUUAGAAAAUAUUCUCAAAUUUUAGUUUUGUGCUAAAAUUUGGAUCAUGUCAAAGAAGCUAUUACUAUUAUUGUGAUCGCUCUUUGGAAAUUGAUAGGUCUUUGAGUUGCUACUCAUAGAACGUGAUGAAUCUUUCUUCGUUCUAUUGUAAUUCACUCUGGUAGUCCUAAAACUUGUAUGCCUGUGGCAUAUCUUGUAAUUUGACCUGAGAUUGGGUAGGGAUACCCGCUGAACUUAAGCAUAUCAUAAGCGGAGGA
RNAcentral lists this unclassified non-coding RNA (373 nucleotides) under soil metagenome. RNAcentral describes it as "partial contains internal transcribed spacer 2 and large subunit ribosomal RNA". The stretch from base 1 to 120 matches the Rfam family "5.8S ribosomal RNA", at positions 35 to 154 of the family's 154-position model. The record is from RNAcentral.